UUAGCCUUCUUGGCCAUUUGCUCAGAAGAUGUGUAGUUUCUGUUCUUGUCAGUUUAAUAUAUGAUAUGCCUCUUUUCUGGGACCAUAUACUUAAUAGCUUUUUGGAGCAGGGAGAUGGACUAGGGGCUUGCUAUGUCUACUCCAUACAUUGACCUGCUAUUGCAAUAUCUCCAGGAACCUAAGGAUAAAGG
This is a small nuclear RNA of Rhincodon typus (whale shark), 191 nucleotides long. RefSeq annotates it as U2 spliceosomal RNA. The transcript has a single exon. The record is from RefSeq and is a predicted model, not a curated record. NCBI's taxonomy places the organism in Eukaryota, Metazoa, Chordata, Chondrichthyes, Orectolobiformes, Rhincodontidae.